This 479-nucleotide ribosomal RNA is filed under the name uncultured bacterium. RNAcentral's name for it is "SSU rRNA". It matches the Rfam family "Bacterial small subunit ribosomal RNA", at positions 26 to 521 of the family's 1533-position model. The record is from RNAcentral.
AGGAUGAACGCUGGCGGCGUGCCUAACACAUGCAAGUCGAACGUCCUGUCUCGCAAGAGGCAGGGAGUGGCGGACGGGUGAGUACCACGUGGGUUAUCUACCGUGAGGUGAGGAAUACCGGCGAGAAAUCGCCGACAAGACCGCAUAGCCUCGGUGCAAGCCGAGCAAAGCUCUUUCGAGAGAGGGAGCGCCACACGAGGAGCCUGCGCCCGAUUAGCUAGCUGGUGGAGUAACGGUUCACCAGGGCGACGAUCGGUAGCUGGUCUGAGAGGACGAUCAGCCGACACUGGGAUUGAGAACGGCCCAGACUCCUACGGGGGGCAGCAGUGAGGAAUUUUCGUCAAUGGGGGCAACCCUGAACGAGCAACGCCGCGUGCAGGAAGAAGGUUUUCGGAUCGUAAACUGACUUUUUCUCGGGGAAGAGAACGGACGGUACCCGAGGAAUCAGCCCCGGCUAACUACGUGCCAGCAGCCGCGGU